This 67-nucleotide transfer RNA is filed under the name Rhodopseudomonas pseudopalustris. RNAcentral describes it as "tRNA_Ser_AGA". It matches the Rfam family "tRNA". Rfam says of the family: Transfer RNA (tRNA) molecules are approximately 80 nucleotides in length. Their secondary structure includes four short double-helical elements and three loops (D, anti-codon, and T loops). Further hydrogen bonds mediate the characteristic L-shaped molecular structure. tRNAs have two regions of fundamental functional importance: the anti-codon, which is responsible for specific mRNA codon recognition, and the 3' end, to which the tRNAs corresponding amino acid is attached (by aminoacyl-tRNA synthetases). tRNAs cope with the degeneracy of the genetic code in two manners: having more than one tRNA (with a specific anti-codon) for a particular amino acid; and 'wobble' base-pairing, i.e. permitting non-standard base-pairing at the 3rd anti-codon position. The record is from RNAcentral. Lineage: Bacteria; Pseudomonadati; Pseudomonadota; Alphaproteobacteria; Hyphomicrobiales; Nitrobacteraceae.
GCCGGUAGCUCAGUUCGGUAGAGCGCCACACAAGCGGAGGUCGCUGGUUCAAAUCCAGCCCAGCGCA